GUUCGCAUGAUGAAUUUCUUUGUUCAACUGCUGAGUGAUUCACAAAUGAACUAAACUCUAAUUCUGAACAGAA
Molecule: small nucleolar RNA, 73 nt
Organism: Chelydra serpentina (North American snapping turtle)
Lineage: Eukaryota; Metazoa; Chordata; Testudines; Chelydridae
Source: Ensembl